This is a non-coding RNA of Notechis scutatus (mainland tiger snake), 330 nucleotides long. The record is from RefSeq and is a predicted model, not a curated record. Lineage: Eukaryota; Metazoa; Chordata; Lepidosauria; Squamata; Elapidae.
CUAAUGUAAUAAUGUAAACUUGAGAGAAUGAAAAUUUCAGAACACUCCUGUUACAAUUUUCAAUGUAACAAUUUUAUUGAUAUCAGUAAUUAUCACCUUCACUUGUUUUUUUUAAAUAACCACAAACAUAUAUGACAUCAUAAACAGAGGUGCCAAGAGGUCAGGGUUUCUUCUAUUAUUUGGUAGGAAGAAAUACACUGAAGAGGAUAAAAUGAGUGGAGCUAAGAAUUCACUGAACAUUUGGGGGAUCCUGUAGGGAGCAAGCCACUCUUUCAUUGCCACAUAUGUAUAUAUGUGUAUAUAUAAAGUCUAUAUUAUACUUCUUUAUAU